CUGUGCUGUGUGGGACUGUUGGAGAAGUGAGGGGCUCUCUGUGCCGUGGAAAUGCGGUGAGCUCUCCAUCGGAGGCACUCUGACUUCUCGGACAGGGCUGCACUGGUGGUUAAUGCUUU
Molecule: microRNA precursor, 119 nt
Filed under: Gallus gallus (chicken)
Lineage: Eukaryota; Metazoa; Chordata; Aves; Galliformes; Phasianidae
Description: microRNA gga-mir-6573 precursor
Source: miRBase by way of RNAcentral